CACGACAUAGGAAUCCAAAGGGAGUGCAAUGGUGGUGCACGACAAUGAUGGAAAGGUGAAUGGUGGAGUGACACCCCUUUGUGGCUGAGCUCUUUGUCCUUUUUACACUAAUUCUUCUUUCUCUUUAACACAUUCCUAGCCUCUUUAGUCUUCAAUUUCGUCCAUCCACCUUGCUCCAUGCAUGUGCUAUCCAUUCCAAGCCCAAAACUGCUCCAAAAUGCACGAAAAUGCAUCUUAUUGCUUUAUAAGGCCUAUGGACCUACAAACACACAAAAAUAGCUUAAAAUACAUAAUUAACUAAGAAAUAACAACAUAAAUGCAUGAGAACAAUGAUGCGAAAUAGAUAAGCACACAAAUUAAACCCUCUUUUUGUCAAAUUGUAGUAAAGAUGUAAGUAGGGAUCGUUUUAGACCGGGGAUUAGGAGGGAUUGCUAAACACUUGAAAACUGACUUAAAACAUAAAAACAAAGUUUAAAACACUAAACUAGACUCAAAGAAUGCAAAACUAAAGUUUAAAACACUUAAACAAACAUAAAACUCAAAACAGCAACCUAAUGACUCAAAACUGCCUAAAACCACUUUCUGGGCAGUUUUGAGAACCUAACAAGAACUUGGACGAAUUUGGGUGAAAACUUGAAUCAAAACACUUAGAAACACAAAUCAAAACAUAUUCUAACUAAUCUAAGACUUUAAAAUAAAGGGGGAUUUGUUUUGGACGAAAAUUGAAAACAAAACAGAAACUUUAAAACAAAACAGAUUGUAAAACGUUUUUGGAUGAAAAGGAUGGAUCAAAGGCUAGUUAGGAGGUUCUUCUCCACACAUGUUACACUUACAAACAAAACGAUUUUCAGUUGUUCUUCCAAUAAAUUAUGACUACUCAACGCCCUAAAUUAACCGUGAAUUGCACUAAUUAACCCUCAGUUUUUCGACAAGUUAUUGAGUUGGAUGAUUGCAUACGACAACCCAAAACAUUCCCUACAAGUUCCCUACAUGAAUUGCAUAAUAGAGAUACAAGCAAGAAUCAUUAAGUUCUAUGAAAAACAUAAGCAUUGACGAAGCAUUCGUUACUAUGAAUUGCAUGAAACUUAUGCCAAGAAUUCAUUCAACGCGAUCGUUUUCAAGCGACCUUCACUACUUGUGAUUAUAAGAUUGUAACUAUUAGGUGAAACUCCCUCAUAAUCUAGCAUCAUAUUUAUGCAUGAAAACUAAGCGUGCACUCUCAAUCAACAUACACAAAUAAGUUAUCAAUCAAGUAGAUGAACGAAUUGAAUCCACAACUUAUGAAAUAACAACUGAAUGUAAUCAAAUCAUAUUGCAAGCAUGUACAUGGUUUCGAAUUCCCCCUAACCAAGGGGGGUUUAGUUCAUCAUACUCACAACACAAAGAAUAUCAAAAUUAAACAUGGAAAUCAAAGGAAAGACAACACCUAAAACGUUCCAGCAAUCCUCAAUUGAAUGGCAUGAACGUCCCAAGCUUUCUCUCCUCCUCUUGGCUGCGGCACAAGGACUAGAGACAGGUUCUAGGGGUUAUUUGGAUGGAUGAGGAGGUAAGGAAUGAUAUGGUAGUGUUUUGGGGACAUGGGGGUUGCGGCAAAGUGUGGAAAUAUGGCAGAUUGGUGAAGGAAGGCUGCGGCAAAGGGGGAUCAAUGUGUUUGGACGAAUUUCUGACUUAUGGAGGAGGUGAUAUCUGCGGCAAGGCUAAGAACAUAUAUAUAUAGGCACCACAAACCCUAGGGAAAUCAGGUUUAAGCAAUGGGCUAGGGUUUAGGUGCGGCAAAGGGUUGAAAUCUGAAAGGGAUUGGGCUUAUGGUGCGGCAAGAAGUGAGAACCCAAGAGGAAUUGGGCUAGGAAGGUGCGGCAUUGUCCAAGAAGGUAAGGAUGGGUCAUCUAGAAGCCCAAAGCCAAGAAUAGAAACUCUCACAAAUGGAAACCUCCAAGAAUAGAAACUUCCAACUUUAGAAACUUUGGUUUCUAAUUCUGAAUUCUUUGUUCUUCACUUUCAUUUCUUCAUUUCUUAAGCUCCUUUGACCUUCAACUCGCCCAUUCCUUGUGCUCCAUAAGUAAAAACGCCAUUUUAGCUCAAUUAUGCUCCAUUUUGCACUUCAUUGCAUACUUUGUCUCUAAAACCUGAAAACACAUAAAACUAGCUUAAAAGACUACGUUUAACUAAGAAAACACCAUGGAAAUGCAUAAGAACUAGCUAACUAAGGCGCAUAAAUAU
Molecule: long non-coding RNA, 2220 nt
Filed under: Malus domestica (apple)
Lineage: Eukaryota; Viridiplantae; Streptophyta; Magnoliopsida; Rosales; Rosaceae
Description: long non-coding RNA (MDOM_LNC019674)
Source: RNAcentral